UACGAAGGGUGCAAGCGUUAAUCGGAUUUAUUGGGCGUAAAGGGCGCGUAGGCGGAUCAGAAAGUCAAAUGUGAAAUCCCAGGGCUUAACCCCGGAACUGCAUUUGAAACUCCUGAUCUAGAGGGUAGACGGAGAAAGUGGAAUUCCACAUGUAGCGGUAAAAUGCGUAGAUAUGUGGAAGAAUACCGGUGGCGAAGGCGACUUUCUAGUUUAUACCUGACGCUGAUGCGCGAAAGCAAGGGGAGCAAACAGGAUUAGAUACCCUGGUAGUCCUUGCCGUAAACAAUGUAUACUUGACGUAGCUGGUCUCAACCCCAGCUGUGUCGGAGCUAACGUGUUAAGUAUACCGCCUGAGGAGUACACUCGCAAGGGUGAAACUCAAAAGAAUUGACGGGGGCUCGCACAAGCAGUGGAGCAUGUGGUUUAAUUCGACGCUACGCGAAGAACCUUACCUAGGCUUGACAUGCACCGGACAGCUACAGAGAUGUAGCCUUCUUCGGACCGGUGCACAGGUGCUGCAUGGCUGUCGUCAGCUCGUGCCGUGAGGUGUUGGGUUAAGUCCCGCAACGAGCGAAACCCUUAUCAUUAGUUACCAGCAUUUCGGAUGGGGACUCUAGUGAGACUGCCUGGGUUAACCAGGAGGAAGGUGAGGAUGAUGUCAAGUCAGCAUGGCCCUUAUGCCUAGGGCUACACACGUGCUACAAUGGCCGAUACAAAAGGUUGCGAAGCCGCAAGGUAGUGCUAAUCCUAUAAAAUCGGUCUCAGUUCAGAUUGUAGUCUGCAACUCGACUACAUGAAGUUGGAAUUGCUAGUAAUGGCGUGUCAGCAAUAACGCCGUGAAUACGUUCUCGGGCCU
RNAcentral lists this ribosomal RNA (856 nucleotides) under uncultured bacterium. Its description in RNAcentral is "bacterial SSU rRNA". It matches the Rfam family "Bacterial small subunit ribosomal RNA", at positions 524 to 1381 of the family's 1533-position model. The record is from RNAcentral.